This 122-nucleotide non-coding RNA is filed under the name Arenimonas donghaensis DSM 18148 = HO3-R19. RNAcentral describes it as "Proteobacterial sRNA sX4". It matches the Rfam family "Proteobacterial sRNA sX4", at positions 1 to 128 of the family's 167-position model. The record is from Rfam by way of RNAcentral. Lineage: Bacteria; Pseudomonadati; Pseudomonadota; Gammaproteobacteria; Lysobacterales; Lysobacteraceae.
GCCGGGUCCGGAGAGGUGGCAGAGCGGUUGAAUGUACCUGACUCGAAAUCAGGCAGGCGUUUAUAGCGCCUCGAGGGUUCGAAUCCCUCCCUCUCCGCCAGACGUUGCAAGAAGGGGCCCGA